Molecule: ribosomal RNA, 318 nt
Filed under: uncultured bacterium
Lineage: Bacteria
Description: bacterial SSU rRNA
Rfam family: Bacterial small subunit ribosomal RNA
Source: RNAcentral
ACCGAAUAGAUACCCAGGUAGUCCACGCCCUAAACUAUGCGAACUGGAUGUUGGGUACAUUACGGUACUCAAGUGUCGAAAGCUAAACGCGUUAAAGUUCGCCGCCUGGGGAGUACGGUCGCAAGACUGAAACUCAAAGGAAUUGACGGGAGGCCCCGCACAAGCGGUGGAGUAUGUGGUUUAAAUUCGAUGCAACGCGAAGAACCUUACCGUGGCCUUUGACAUCUGUCGAAAUCCUGCAGAGAUGCGGGAGUGCCGCAAGGAACGACAAGACAGGUGCUGCAUGGCUGUCGUCAGCUCGUGUCGUGAGAUGUUGGG